UACGUAGGUGGCAAGCGUUGUCCGGAUUUAUUGGGUUUAAAGGGCGCGUAGGCGGUGUCCUAAGUCAGUUGUGAAAUACGGCAGCUUAACUGUCGAGGUGCAAUUGAUACUGGGACACUUGAGUACUGAUGAGGUAGGCGGAAUGGACGGUGUAGCGGUGAAAUGCUUAGAUAUCGUCCAGAACACCGAUAGCGAAGGCAGCUUACUAAGGAGUAACUGACGCUGAGGCACGAAAGUGUGGGGAUCAAACAGG
Molecule: ribosomal RNA, 253 nt
Filed under: uncultured bacterium
Lineage: Bacteria
Description: partial 16S ribosomal RNA
Rfam family: Bacterial small subunit ribosomal RNA
Source: RNAcentral